This 970-nucleotide ribosomal RNA is filed under the name uncultured soil bacterium. Its description in RNAcentral is "SSU rRNA". It matches the Rfam family "Bacterial small subunit ribosomal RNA", at positions 1 to 965 of the family's 1533-position model. The record is from RNAcentral.
UCGUCUAUAUAAUAUUUCGUGCGAUUCGCCUUAGAGUUUGAUCCUGGCUCAGAUUGAACGCUGGCGGCAUGCCUUACACAUGCAAGUCGAACGCGAAAGUGGGGGCAACCCUGCGAGUAGAGUGGCGAACGGGUGAGUAAUACAUCGGAACGUACCCAGGAGUGGGGGACAACCUCGAGAAAUCGAGGCUAAUACCGCAUACGUCCUGAGGGAGAAAGCGGGGGAUUCGCAAGGACCUCGCGCUCAUGGAGCGGCCGAUGUCGGAUUAGCUAGUUGGCGGGGUAAGAGCCCACCAAGGCGACGAUCCGUAGCUGGUUUGAGAGAACGACCAGCCACACUGGGACUGAGACACGGCCCAGACUCCUACGGGAGGCAGCAGUGGGGAAUUUUGGACAAUGGGGGCAACCCUGAUCCAGCCAUGCCGCGUGAGUGAAGAAGGCCUUCGGGUUGUAAAGCUCUUUCUGCCGGAACGAAAUCGCGCACGUGAAUAACGUGCGUGGAUGACGGUACUGGAAGAAGAAGCACCGGCUAACUACGUGCCAGCAGCCGCGGUAAUACGUAGGGUGCGAGCGUUAAUCGGAAUUACUGGGCGUAAAGCGUGCGGAGGCGGUUCUGCAAGUCAGAUGUGAAAUCCCCGGGCUUAACCUGGGAACUGCGUUUGAAACUACGGAGCUAGAGUGCCGCAGACGGGGGUGGAAUUCCACGUGUAGCAGUGAAAUGCGUAGAUAUGUGGAGGACACCGAUGGCGAUGCAGCCCCCUGGGCCGACACUGACACUCAGGACUAAAGCUGCGGAGCAAACACGAUAGAUACCCUGUAGUCCACGCCCUAAACUAUGUCACCAGUCGUCUGGGAGCAUACCUCGUACGUAGCUAACGCGUGCAGUGACCGCCUGGGGGUACGUCCAGAUGAACUCAACGAUGACCGGGCCCGCACAGCGGUGGAGACAUGUUGUUUAUCGACGCUACCGC